Molecule: long non-coding RNA, 276 nt
Filed under: Brassica rapa (field mustard)
Lineage: Eukaryota; Viridiplantae; Streptophyta; Magnoliopsida; Brassicales; Brassicaceae
Description: long non-coding RNA (BRAP_LNC002186)
Source: RNAcentral
UUUGAUCAGACUGUUGUAUUGGUAACUCCUUUCUUCCAUGUUCUAUCUCGCAUGUUCCAAAUUUUUUAUCAUUAACAUGAGUUUGUAUAUUAUUGUUGCAAAAAGACGGAAAACAACCUCCACACUCGGGUUUCAAAUGGUCUGCCAUGUCUGAUGUUGAAAGCUUAGCCUGGAAUCCCCACAGUGAACAUUCCUCUGUGGUGAGAGCUUCACUUCCCUUUGCUCUCUUAUUAUAGACAAUCUGAGGUUAUAGCAGUUUUAAACAUUUUCUUACCA